CUGGAUGGAUGUGGCCGGACCUUCACGUGCAGCUCUUUUUCUUUUUUAAAAUGUUUGUUCAUAAUUUUAAUUUAUAACAAAUAAACAUUUGAACAAAGAAAUUAAAACAAUUCUCACAUAUCAAACUUCGACUUUCCUCCUCCUCUUUCAACAGUUCGAUGAGUUUACCUUUUCUUUCCCCUUUCGCAUAUCCCAAUUAACUCUAUUCAUUCUUUUCCUCAUCUAUUUCAUAUGUUUUAGAAACUGCAAGUUUUUACAGGAAUCCUGCUAAUGUCUUAAUUUGUUUACAAUUUGUUUGUAAAUAUUCAAUAAACGAUUUCCAUUCGUGCGGCUCUUUUAUCCUCCAGCUUUUGGGGACAGACUCUUAAGGGACGAAGAGAGACCAAAGGAGCAAACUUACGGGAGCAUACAGAGCUACCCGUUUGUUUUUUUCACAUAUGACACAGUGGUUGGAGUGCUGAACUAGGACCCGGGAGAGACCAAGGUUCAAACCCUCACUCGGCCGGGGAGCUGACUGGGGGCCAGUCACCGCCUCUCUCAGCCUGACCUGCUUCGCAGGGUUGCUGUUUUGGUGAUUAAACAAUGGGGGGGGGGAACUAUGGGAGCAGCCUUGAGCUCCAUGGAGAAAAAAGUGGUAUAUAAAGGUAAAUUUUAAAAAAGGACUCACUUCCCAUGAAAACACAUCAAAAUGAUGGACAAUAUAAAUCAUGAGACUCAUAGAACUGUAGAGCUGAAAGGGUCAUCUAGUCAAACCCCCAGCAAGGCAGGAAUCAAAUCUAAAGGAAGUUCAGGAAGGCAUGAGCUUAGAAGGCACACAGGGUGGGCCCAGUUUAUGGAAGACGACAUCUGCCAGAGGCCCCUUUCUGUGAUCAGCCGGGGAUAUAAGGCGUGAAACAAUCUCCCAGCGCCCCUGGGCUUGUCCACACUUACAAAGCACAGGUCUUUCCCUUUGCCCUGCUCCUUUCCCAUGGAAACCCCUCUGUUUAGUGCUAAAGCAGAGCAAAUGUCAAUCCCGAGAAAAAAAGGAUUUCCCUGGGGAAAAGCAGGACAGGAGGAAGUGUGGAUAAGCCCAGUGAGUGAGUGUUCACCAGGACUAGCACCUUGAACGUAGCCCCAUAACAAACUGGCAGUCAAUGUAACCAUUUCAGCAACAGGAUAGUACUCUGGUGGGGACCUCCUGUCCCAGUGAGCAGCUUUUGCAGCAAGAGGCUGGCCAGGGAGCCUUGAGGAGGAUGCUGAGCAGCUAGAGCUGAGCUGCCUGCCCCCAUCUUGGGGGAGUGAAGAAUGAAGAGAGAGGCAGGCAUACAAAGGGGGGGGGCAGGAGGAGGCCACAUACCAGCUGGUGAAACUGAAGCACAUUCUUUACCACUUUGAAUGCUGACAGAUGAGGGCCAGAGAGAUACAGAUGGCUGUUGCUGGCGAACUUUGUUCCCCAGGGAAGAAGAGAAGGGAGCAAAAAGGCACCAUGGAAGCUGGUGGGUUGGGGAAAAUGGGGGUGGGGAGGACUCAGGGAAUCUGUGGGGCAGGAAGGCGUUUGCCAUGGAGCUGCACAGCAGGCAGGGCUUGCCCAGCAAGGCCGGAUUGUCAGGAGGGGGCUGUGUGGCAGGAGUCACCUUGACCUCUUGGCCUGGACCCUGUUGCCACCAUCUCUGCUCCUGGACGUGAGCUGGGGCCAGAGAGGGGGCAAGAACAACCCUCCUUGUGAGAAACUAAGAACUUCCUCCUGGAUCAGGCCUAAGGGGGCCCAUCCAGUUCAGCCUCUUGCUCUCACAGUGGAAUCUAGACACAGUGCCUUUGGAGCUGGAGGAUUCAUAAGAACAUCCGAAGAGCAUGCUGGAUCAGGCCAAUGGCCCAUCUAGUCCAGCUUCCUGUUCUCACAGUGGCUGACCAGAUGCUUCUUAGGAAAGCCCACAAGCAGAAUCCAAGCACAAGAGCAUUUUCUCCCCUGCUGUGGUUUCCAGCAACUAGCACUCAGAAACACUUCUGCCUCCAGCAGUGAGGGGCAGAGCCCAGUCAUUGGCUGUGACUUUAAAAACUUGAGUAGGAGCUUGGUUUUUUCCUCCCUCUUCCUAGUCCCUUCUUCCUUGUGUGUCAUGUCUUUCUGAGCUGAGGGGCAGCGAUUGUCUUGGAAAUGAUUUUUGUAGGCCUCCCAGAGAGCCAUUGUGGCUUAAUGGGUGAGGAAUUCAUGCUGUAAACAGGUAAAUUAUCUUAACAUGCACUGAUUGUAUGUGGGCCACUCUGGGAGCUUCUUUGGCUGAAGCGCAAAUGCUCUGAAUAAAUAAAAACAGUCUGCCUGCUCCUCCAUAUCACAAGGGAACAAUCCAGCUCCCGCUGGUCUGAGGGGAGGAGGCUAGAUGGCAGCAGGAGGAGCUUUCUGUACCUGGACCCGGACCCAAAAUGCACGAAGGAUGAGGUUUCCUGGAAACAAUGAGCCCCAAGGCCGCCCCCACCUUUUUUGGUCACAAGGAGCCACUGGAGCAAAUGUAAGCCUCUUUCAUGGGCCAGGACAGACGGUUGGGGAUUGUUAAAUGAAGCCGUUGGGGCACACUUAAUCUAAUUUGCAAGUGGUGCUGGUGGGUGUGCAUGUGUCUGCAGCAGGAUUGUGGGAUGCGUGAGGAAACAGUAAACACAGCACUGCGCAAUUGGGCACGGGGUGCGGACCACAACACAACCGCACUUAAGAAGUGCCGCACCUGACAGUCCUUCUCCUGAUCUACAAAAGUGGUUCUGAAAACAGGAGGGAGCUUAAAAACGGCACAAAGCCGCCCUCAAUGCACAAUCGAUGAAUCCGUGACAUUUCAACCUAGGGGAACGAGAAGUCUGCGGUCCUGAAGUUCAAGGUGCAAAGUGGGCCAUUUGUAACCCUCAGUUUGGCAUUUCCAGUUUUGACGUCACAGAGAAACAUGUGCUUUGCAGCCUGAGAGAUUCUAAUGAGGUGACUCCCAAGUUUUAAAUGUCCUUAUUUUAGCUUAGACGCACAAAAUCCACAUAGCAAGAACAGUAAGCACACAAACCUGAAGGGGCAGGAGUAAAAUGGAGCAUGGUCCAGGGAGUCAUAAUUCACUGUGUAGCUGCAUCUCGCUAACACAACUUCUUUUUUGUUUUCAUUGCUGCUCACAUCAAGUAAUACUGAAAGGAGGGAGAGAUCUAACCCAGAACAGCCACCUGUGGGAGUGGACCUUGAUGGGAGAAUCUGCCUGAUUUGCACUUUCUGAAACAACUCAAGACCGAAACACAGACACCCUUCAAAAUUUGCAUGCAGUUCUCCAGUCAAGUAAUGUGUGAAAAAGUGCAUGUGCACAUGUGAAGCAGGAAGAACGACAUACAAAGAUGCAUGACAUCAGGCGGAAUAGCCCUGCAUAGAUGAGUAUGGGAAAGGCAAGAUUGUGGUGGGCAUGGGGAGGAAUUUGCACAAAAGUGAUGCUGAAUUUUCAUGAGGGCUCAUCCUUUUAAAAAACCCUCAGUCUUAUGUGGAGAUGUGGGGAAAUGAGAGAAAGCAAAAUGCCCUUCUGUACUUCCAGGGGAUCCUUGGCUGUGGCCUCCCUCCGAACCGAACCAUCC
Molecule: long non-coding RNA, 3561 nt
Filed under: Podarcis lilfordi (Lilford's wall lizard)
Lineage: Eukaryota; Metazoa; Chordata; Lepidosauria; Squamata; Lacertidae
Source: RNAcentral